RNAcentral lists this ribosomal RNA (253 nucleotides) under uncultured bacterium. RNAcentral describes it as "partial 16S ribosomal RNA". It matches the Rfam family "Bacterial small subunit ribosomal RNA", at positions 524 to 776 of the family's 1533-position model. The record is from RNAcentral.
UACGGAGGGUGCAAGCGUUAAUCGGAAUUACUGGGCGUAAAGCGCACGCAGGCGGUCUGUCAAGUCGGAUGUGAAAUCCCCGGGCUCAACCUGGGAACUGCAUUCGAAACUGGCAGGCUAGAGUCUUGUAGAGGGGGGUAGAAUUCCAGGUGUAGCGGUGAAAUGCGUAGAGAUCUGGAGGAAUACCAGUGGCGAAGGCGGCUUACUGGACAGUAACUGACGUUGAGGCUCGAAAGCGUGGGGAGCAAACAGG